Non-coding RNA from Danionella cerebrum, 76 nucleotides. The record is from the annotation of a GenBank genome assembly. Lineage: Eukaryota; Metazoa; Chordata; Actinopteri; Cypriniformes; Danionidae.
GCUGUCCUGUGGCUCAGUUGGUAGAGCAUUGCACUAACAACGUAAAGGUUGCAGUGUUCAAAUCCCAGGGAAAGCA